Molecule: ribosomal RNA, 374 nt
Filed under: unidentified
Description: bacterial SSU rRNA
Rfam family: Eukaryotic small subunit ribosomal RNA
Source: RNAcentral
AUUAUAACAGGUCUGUGAUGCCCUUAUAUGUCUUGGGCUGCACUCGCGUUACAAUGACGAAUUCAACGAGUUAUGUCCUUGCUCGAAGGAGUUGGGUAAUCUUUCGAAAAUUCGUCGUGCUGGGGAUUGAUCAUUGUAAUUAUUGGUCAUGAACCAGGAAUGCCUAGUAAUCGUACGUCAUUAACGUGCGAUGAUUACGUCCCUGCCCUUUGUACACACCGCCCGUCGCUCCUACCGAUGGAUGAUUAGGUGAGACGUUCGGAUGGAUGGUAGAUUUCAGUUUCGGCUGAAGCUACUGACCAGAAGUUCCUCAAACCUACAUUAUCUAGAGGAAGGAGAAGUCGUAACAAGGUCUCCGUAGGUGAACCUGCAAU